This 450-nucleotide ribosomal RNA is filed under the name uncultured bacterium. Its description in RNAcentral is "partial 16S ribosomal RNA". It matches the Rfam family "Bacterial small subunit ribosomal RNA", at positions 338 to 795 of the family's 1533-position model. The record is from RNAcentral.
CCUACGGGGGGCUGCAGUGGGGAAUUUUGCGCAAUGGGCGAAAGCCUGACGCAGCAACGCCGCGUGGGUGAUGAAGGUCUUCGGAUCGUAAAACCCUGUCGUUGGGGACGAAGGUGGGGGCGUUAAUAGCGUUUCUGCUUGACGGUACCCGGAGAGGAAGCCCCGGCUAACUCUGUGCCAGCAGCCGCGGUAAUACAGAGGGGGCAAGCGUGACGUGAAAGUCUUGGGCGCGGUGUGUUAAGUCAGAUGUGUAAUCCCCGAGCUCAACUUGGGAACUGGAUCUGAGACUGGAAGGCUAGAGUACUGGAGAGGGUGGUGGAAUUCCUCGUGUAGCGGUGAAAUGCGUAGAGAUGAGGAGGAACACCAGUGGCGAAGGCGGCCACCUGGACAGUAACUGACGCUGAGGCGCGAAAGUGUGGGUAGCAAACAGGAUUAGAUACCCUUGUAGUC